This 279-nucleotide ribosomal RNA is filed under the name uncultured bacterium. RNAcentral's name for it is "partial 16S ribosomal RNA". It matches the Rfam family "Bacterial small subunit ribosomal RNA", at positions 506 to 784 of the family's 1533-position model. The record is from RNAcentral.
UGCCAGCAGCCGCGGUAAUACGGAGGGAGCUAGCGUUGUUCGGAAUUACUGGGCGUAAAGGGCAUGUAGGCGGCGAUGCGCGUCAGAGGUGAAAUCCCAGGGCUCAACCCUGGAACUGCCUUUGAUACGGCAUUGCUAGAAUACCAGAGAGGUUAAUGGAAUUCCAAGUGUAGAGGUGAAAUUCGUAGAUAUUUGGAAGAACACCAGUGGCGAAGGCGAUUAACUGGCUGGCUAUUGACGCUGAGGUGCGAAAGCGUGGGGAGCGAACGGGAUUAGAUA